GGCAGAGGUGCCAAGCGUUAGGCGGAAUCACUGGGCUUAAAGCGUGUGUAGGCGGAUCGUUAAGUACCUUGUGAAAUCCCACGGCUUAACCGUGGAACUGCUCGGUAUACUGGCGGUCUUGAGCAACCUAGGGGCGAGCGGAACAAAUGGUGGAGCGGUGAAAUGCGUAGAUAUCAUUUGGAACGCCAAUGGUGAAAACAGCUCGCUGGGGGUUUGCUGACGCUGAGACACGAAAGCCAGGGGAGCAAACGGG
RNAcentral lists this ribosomal RNA (253 nucleotides) under uncultured bacterium. RNAcentral describes it as "partial 16S ribosomal RNA". It matches the Rfam family "Bacterial small subunit ribosomal RNA", at positions 524 to 776 of the family's 1533-position model. The record is from RNAcentral.